This 466-nucleotide ribosomal RNA is filed under the name uncultured bacterium. RNAcentral's name for it is "partial 16S ribosomal RNA". It matches the Rfam family "Bacterial small subunit ribosomal RNA", at positions 28 to 507 of the family's 1533-position model. The record is from RNAcentral.
GAUGAACGCUGGCGGCGUGCUUAACACAUGCAAGUCGAACGAUGAAGCCCAGCUUGCUGGGUGGAUUAGUGGCGAACGGGUGAGUAACACGUGAGUAACCUGCCCUUAACUCUGGGAUAAGCCUGGGAAACUGGGUCUAAUACCGGAUAGGAGCGUCCACCGCAUGGUGGGUGUUGGAAAGAUUUAUCGAUUUUGGAUGGACUCGCGGCCUAUCAGCUUGUUGGUGAGGUAAUGGCUCACCAAGGCGACGACGGGUAGCCGGCCUGAGAGGGUGACCGGCCACACUGGGACUGGGACACGGCCCAGACUCCUACGGGAGGCAGCAGUGGGGAAUAUUGCACAAUGGGCGCAAGCCUGAUGCAGCGACGCCGCGUGAGGGAUGACGGCCUUCGGGUUGUAAACCUCUUUCAGUAGGGAAGAAGCGAAAGUGACGGUACCUGCAGAAGAAGCACCGGCUAACUACGUG